Molecule: long non-coding RNA, 255 nt
Filed under: Gossypium barbadense (sea-island cotton)
Lineage: Eukaryota; Viridiplantae; Streptophyta; Magnoliopsida; Malvales; Malvaceae
Description: long non-coding RNA (GBAR_LNC020911)
Source: RNAcentral
GGAACCAAAAACUCUUCGGCCAAAAACAAAGAAGAAAAAAUAAAAUGAAAGAGCAGAAAAAUACUCAAACAAACCCGAGAGGUACACGACAUCUCUUCAAAAAUUCAGCACCAAAGGCAAAAAGAGGGAAAACAUACACAAAACCUAAAUAAAAGGUAUACCAAAAUGAGCAGUAUACCCCUUUGGCCAAAUUUCCUGAGUAACAAAGUCCACAUUCGGCUUACACCUCCUCUCCCCUCACUUCCCUUGAUUUUC